AACCAGAGUGAUGAAAAAACCAUCCUUAGGCGUGUGGUUAUGGCCGUCUUGGUCACCUGUAUGCCACUUGCCAAUGCCAGGACUUGUCAUAGUUAACACCGACUGUUG
Molecule: small nucleolar RNA, 108 nt
Organism: Nannospalax galili (Upper Galilee mountains blind mole rat)
Lineage: Eukaryota; Metazoa; Chordata; Mammalia; Rodentia; Spalacidae
Product: predicted gene, 26330
Source: Ensembl